RNAcentral lists this ribosomal RNA (744 nucleotides) under uncultured bacterium. Its description in RNAcentral is "bacterial SSU rRNA". It matches the Rfam family "Bacterial small subunit ribosomal RNA", at positions 8 to 798 of the family's 1533-position model. The record is from RNAcentral.
AGAGUUUGAUCCUGGCUCAGAGCGAACGCUGGCGGCAGGCCUAACACAUGCAAGUCGAACGAACUCUUCGGAGUUAGUGGCGGACGGGUGAGUAACACGUGGGAACGUGCCUUUAGGUUCGGAAUAGCUCCUGGAAACGGGUGGUAAUGCCGAAUGUGCCCUUCGGGGGAAAGAUUUAUCGCCUUUAGAGCGGCCCGCGUCUGAUUAGCUAGUUGGUGGGGUAAUGGCCCACCAAGGCUACGAUCAGUAGCUGGUCUGAGAGGAUGACCAGCCACAUUGGGACUGAGACACGGCCCCAACUCCUACGGGAGGCAGCAGUGGGGAAUCUUGCGCAAUGGGCGAAAGCCUGACGCAGCCAUGCCGCGUGUAUGAUGAAGGUCUUAGGAUUGUAAAAUACUUUCACCGGUGAAGAUAAUGACUGUAGCCGGAGAAGAAGCCCCGGCUAACUUCGUGCCAGCAGCCGCGGUAAUACGAAGGGGGCUAGCGUUGCUCGGAAUUACUGGGCGUAAAGGGAGCGUAGGCGGACAUUUAAGUCAGAGGUGAAAUCCCGGAGCUUAACUUCGGAACUGCCUUUGAUACUGGGUGUCUUGAGUGUGAGAGAGGUAUGUGGAACUCCGAGUGUAGAGGUGAAAUUCGUAGAUAUUCGGAAGAACACCAGUGGCGAAGGCGACAUACUGGCUCAUUACUGACGCUGAGGCUCGAAAGCGUGGGGAGCAAACAGGAUUAGAUACCCUGGUAGUCCAA